UCUGCCCGGUGAGAAAUUAAACGGCCGCUUUUGUGCUAAGGUAGCAUAAUCAUUUGUCCUUUAAUUGGGGACUAGAAUGAAUGGGAAAAUGUAGGUGAGCUUUUUUCUUUUAAGUUAUAAAAAUUAAACUUUCUAUGAAAAUGUAGAAAUAAACUUUAAAGACCAAAAGACCCUGACGAGCUUAAAUCUGGGGGAGUUAUCUUUUAACAGAUUUUAAUUGGGGUGAUUUUAGAUAUACAUCUAUUAUUAAAUAAAAAAACUAAAUUAAUGUUAGUAAAGUUACCGCAGGGAUAACAGGCUAAUCUUUUUUAAGAGUUCAAAUCUACAAAAAGACUUGGCACCUCGAUGUUGGCUUAAGAGAAAUUUUAGAUGUAGCAGUUUAWAUAAAAGGCGU
Molecule: ribosomal RNA, 394 nt
Filed under: Ophryotrocha robusta
Lineage: Eukaryota; Metazoa; Annelida; Polychaeta; Eunicida; Dorvilleidae
Description: partial 16S ribosomal RNA
Rfam family: Bacterial large subunit ribosomal RNA
Source: RNAcentral